Molecule: ribosomal RNA, 430 nt
Filed under: uncultured bacterium
Lineage: Bacteria
Description: bacterial SSU rRNA
Rfam family: Archaeal small subunit ribosomal RNA
Source: RNAcentral
GCGAGAAAACUUUGCAAUGUGCGAAAGCACGACAAGGUUAAUCCGAGUGGUUUCUGCUAAAGAAACCUUUUGUCAGUCCUAGAAACACUAACGAAUAAGGGGUGGGCAAGUUCUGGUGUCAGCCGCCGCGGUAAAACCAGCACCUCAAGUGGUCAGGAUGAUUAUUGGGCCUAAAGCAUCCGUAGCUCGUUUUGUAAGUUUUCGGUUAAAUCCAUACGCUUAACGUAUGGGCUGCCGGGAAUACUGCAUAACUAGGAAGUGGGAGAGGUAGACGGUACUCGGUAGGAAGGGGUAAAAUCCUUUGAUCUAUUGAUGACCACCUGUGGCGAAGGCGGUCUACCAGAACACGUUCGACGGUGAGGGAUGAAAGCUGGGGGAGCAAACCGGAUUAGAUACCCCUGUAGUCCCUGAGCGGGCUGGCAAGGCGCAU